RNAcentral lists this ribosomal RNA (303 nucleotides) under Triticum aestivum (bread wheat). Its description in RNAcentral is "partial small subunit ribosomal RNA". The record is from RNAcentral. Lineage: Eukaryota; Viridiplantae; Streptophyta; Magnoliopsida; Poales; Poaceae.
AUGAGCCGUUGGUAUGCUUGUAAACUUCCACUGAAUGUUAAUUCUGUGUCCAGGAAAGAAUCUAGUGCUAAAAAGCACCAAACUGGAGUUUUUUCAUACGGAAAAAUGGAGCAUGCCGACACAAUGGAAAAAAUAUACAUUUGUUCACCCACAAAGAAAGAUAUACAGUUUGUUUUACUAAGUCCGUCUUUUGAACUCAAAGGGUUACUCAUCCAUUUUAUUCACAAUUCAAUAUAUACAUUCUUGCCAUGUGCAGUGUGCGUUUUUUGCUCUUUUGUUGCAAAAAUUUCACCAAUCAUGUAA